RNAcentral lists this ribosomal RNA (440 nucleotides) under uncultured bacterium. RNAcentral's name for it is "bacterial SSU rRNA". It matches the Rfam family "Bacterial small subunit ribosomal RNA", at positions 339 to 796 of the family's 1533-position model. The record is from RNAcentral.
CUACGGGAGGCAGCAGUGGGGAAUAUUGGACAAUGGGCGCAAGCCUGAUCCAGCCAUGCCGCGUGAGUGAUGAAGGCCCUAGGGUUGUAAAGCUCUUUCGCCAGGGACGAUAAUGACGGUACCUGGAUAAGAAGCCCCGGCUAACUUCGUGCCAGCAGCCGCGGUAAUACGAAGGGGGCUAGCGUUGCUCGGAAUCACUGGGCGUAAAGCGCACGUAGGCGGAUUCUUAAGUCAGGGGUGAAAGCCUGGAGCUCAACUCCAGAACUGCCUUUGAUACUGGGAGUCUCGAGUUCGGGAGAGGUGAGUGGAACUGCGAGUGUAGAGGUGAAAUUCGUAGAUAUUCGCAAGAACACCAGUGGCGAAGGCGGCUCACUGGCCCGAUACUGACGCUGAGGUGCGAAAGCGUGGGGAGCAAACGGGAUUAGAUACCCGUGUAGUCC